GACGAACGCUGGCGGCGUGCCUAAUACAUGCAAGUCGAACGCACAGUUUAUACCGUAGCUUGCUACACCAUAGACUGUGAGUUGCGAACGGGUGAGUAACGCGUAGGUAACCUGCCUGGUAGCGGGGGAUAACUAUUGGAAACGAUAGCUAAUACCGCAUAAUAUUAAUUAUUGCAUGAUAAUUAAUUGAAAGGUGCAAUUGCACCACUACCAGAUGGACCUGCGUUGUAUUAGCUAGUAGGUGAGGUAACGGCUCACCUAGGCGACGAUACAUAGCCGACCUGCGAGGGUGAUCGGCCACACUGGGACUGGGACACGGCCCAGACUCCUACGAGAGGCAGCAGUAGGGAAUCUUCGGCAAUGGACGAAAGUCUGACCGAGCAACGCCGCGUGAGUGAAGAAGGGUGUCGGAUCGUAAAGCUCUGUUGUAAGAGAAGAACGGGUGUGAGAGUGGAAAGUUCACACUGUGACGGUACCUUACCAGAAAGGGACGGCUAACUACGUG
This 505-nucleotide ribosomal RNA is filed under the name uncultured bacterium. RNAcentral's name for it is "partial 16S ribosomal RNA". It matches the Rfam family "Bacterial small subunit ribosomal RNA", at positions 28 to 507 of the family's 1533-position model. The record is from RNAcentral.